Molecule: transfer RNA, 20 nt
Filed under: Hedychium flavescens
Lineage: Eukaryota; Viridiplantae; Streptophyta; Magnoliopsida; Zingiberales; Zingiberaceae
Also listed under: 1 other name
Description: partial tRNA-Leu
Source: RNAcentral
GUUCAAGUCCUCUAUCCCCA